CUUCUAGUGUUUAUGUGAAUUGUAUGUAGGUAUUUAUGAAAUUAGAGACGCAGGUCAACAUAUUUUUUCAAUGACUUAUUCACCAUUCCUGAUGAGAACCAAACGUUUGGCAGCCCUUUAUCCAUUAUUAUGCGCAUCCUCCAGCUUCAAGCACGAGGCAAAGACCACUUCAAAGACAUGGAUCUCAAGAGCUCGCCUUCAUAAUUAUCCUGAAGACUAAAGUCUGUCUCAGAGUCUGCUUCCUGGAAAACCCAAACUGCCACAGUUGGAGCCAAGAGAGAUCGAGAAAGCAGAUGACAAGAUGGGGUUUGGAAGCUGGAUCACUACCUGGAUGGUAUGAGGACCUCAUCACUGGUGAUGGAUGGAGCACAGAUAGCCCCUGACAUAAGUUGCAAUAGUAAAUGGAUAAUGCAGCAAGGACAUGGCGACCAGGAACCCAGACCUCUCUGGGAUGUGAAUCUAGAUCAUGACCCCAGGUGUCGAUCCCAAAGGCACUCCCUGAUAAACAUCCUGGACGCUAAACUCUGACUCAGGGUCUUCCUGCAGAGCCUGAACUGUGAAAAUGCCCUGUCAUCACAAAU
Mesoplodon densirostris (Blainville's beaked whale) is the source of this 581-nucleotide long non-coding RNA. RefSeq lists it as uncharacterized. NCBI's taxonomy places the organism in Eukaryota, Metazoa, Chordata, Mammalia, Artiodactyla, Ziphiidae. The transcript is spliced from 4 exons. The record is from RefSeq and is a predicted model, not a curated record.